RNAcentral lists this long non-coding RNA (224 nucleotides) under Elaeis guineensis (African oil palm). RNAcentral describes it as "long non-coding RNA (EGUI_LNC059302)". Lineage: Eukaryota; Viridiplantae; Streptophyta; Magnoliopsida; Arecales; Arecaceae. The record is from RNAcentral.
GAUCAUUACCUUUUUAUUGAUUGAAGCCUUUGACAAAGUUUAUAAUCAAUCGAACUAUUGGAUUUGCGUUUGAUUUUAUAAAUCCAUCAGCAGCCUAUAAUGUGUUGAUGUGGUGAAGAGGAAAUUAAUUCCUAAAUGCUAUUAGAAAUUAAAUCAUUAUAUUUUAUACCCAUAGUUUGACACCAAGUGGCAUCUGUGUAAGCCUGUGUAUAACAAUUGGGCUC